This 219-nucleotide long non-coding RNA is filed under the name Lathyrus oleraceus (garden pea). Its description in RNAcentral is "Pisum sativum (pea) long non-coding RNA (PSAT_LNC025064)". Lineage: Eukaryota; Viridiplantae; Streptophyta; Magnoliopsida; Fabales; Fabaceae. The record is from RNAcentral.
AAAAAACUGCAACCAUAGAGCAUACUAAGAACAUUUAUCCCUGAAUCGAAUAGAAAGUUCUAAUAUCAGUUGUUGGGAAAAAAUAUAGAAUAGAGAAAAAAGAGGAACACAAUUAUAAAACCAGACAAAAAACCACGACUGUUGUUACUAGACAACCAAAGAAUUACACUAUAUGAAAAUUAUUACAACAUGUAACAUACCCUAAACUAACUCAGGCCC